AAAGGUGGGUAGCUCAGCC
Molecule: unclassified non-coding RNA, 19 nt
Filed under: Chlamydomonas reinhardtii
Lineage: Eukaryota; Viridiplantae; Chlorophyta; Chlorophyceae; Chlamydomonadales; Chlamydomonadaceae
Description: small RNA Cre_0029
Source: RNAcentral